UACGUAGGGUGCGAGCGUUGUCCGGAAUUAUUGGGCGUAAAGAGCUUGUAGGCGGUUUGUCGCGUCUGCUGUGAAAAUCCGGGGCUCAACCCCGGACUUGCAGUGGGUACGGGCAGACUAGAGUGUGGUAGGGGAGACUGGAAUUCCUGGUGUAGCGGUGGAAUGCGCAGAUAUCAGGAGGAACACCUAUGGCGAAGGCAGCUCUCUGGGACGGUACUGACGCUGAGACGCGAAAGCGUGGGGAGCGAACAGG
RNAcentral lists this ribosomal RNA (253 nucleotides) under uncultured bacterium. RNAcentral describes it as "partial 16S ribosomal RNA". It matches the Rfam family "Bacterial small subunit ribosomal RNA", at positions 524 to 776 of the family's 1533-position model. The record is from RNAcentral.